This 253-nucleotide ribosomal RNA is filed under the name uncultured bacterium. Its description in RNAcentral is "partial 16S ribosomal RNA". It matches the Rfam family "Bacterial small subunit ribosomal RNA", at positions 524 to 776 of the family's 1533-position model. The record is from RNAcentral.
UACAGAGGUCUCGAGCGUUGUUCGGAUUCAUUGGGCGUAAAGGGUGCGUAGGUGGCUUGGUCAGUCGGAUGUGAAAUCCCGGGGCUCAACCCCGGAACUGCAUUCGAUACUGCCGGGCUGGAGUACUGGAGAGGAGAUUGGAAUUUACGGUGUAGCAGUGAAAUGCGUAGAUAUCGUAAGGAAGACCAGUGGCGAAGGCGGAUCUCUGGACAGUUACUGACACUGAGGCACGAAGGCCAGGGGAGCAAACGGG